Molecule: ribosomal RNA, 456 nt
Filed under: uncultured organism
Description: partial 16S ribosomal RNA
Rfam family: Bacterial small subunit ribosomal RNA
Source: RNAcentral
ACACUCCUACGGGAGGCAGCAGUGGGGAAUAUCGCACAAUGGGCGCAAGCCUGAUGCAGCGACGCCGCGUGGGGGAUGAAGGCCUUCGGGUUGUAAACUCCUUUCGCUAGGGACGAAGCUUUUUUGUGACGGUACCUAGAUAAGAAGCACCGGCUAACUACGUGCCAGCAGCCGCGGUAAUACGUAGGGUGCGAGCGUUGUCCGGAAUUACUGGGCGUAAAGGGCUCGUAGGUGGUUUGUCGCGUCGUCUGUGAAAUUCUGGGGCUUAACUCCGGGCGUGCAGGCGAUACGGGCAUAACUUGAGUGCUGUAGGGGUAACUGGAAUUCCUGGUGUAGCGGUGAAAUGCGCAGAUAUCAGGAGGAACACCGAUGGCGAAGGCAGGUUACUGGGCAGUUACUGACGCUGAGGAGCGAAAGCAUGGGUAGCGAACAGGAUUAGAAACCCUGGUAGUCCCA